GGCAGUGUAGUAUAAAGGAGUAAGGAGUUGGUCUUGUAAUCUAAAGGUCACAGGUUCGAUUCCCUGUAAGACACUGCCG
This 79-nucleotide transfer RNA is filed under the name Anguilla anguilla (European eel). RNAcentral describes it as "tRNA-OTHER". Lineage: Eukaryota; Metazoa; Chordata; Actinopteri; Anguilliformes; Anguillidae. The record is from RNAcentral.